AUCAGUGUGGUGUAGUGCUUUGAACGUUGGACUACAACUCUGCAGGCUAGGGUUCGAAUCCCAGCUCAGCCA
Molecule: non-coding RNA, 72 nt
Organism: Phrynosoma platyrhinos (Desert horned lizard)
Lineage: Eukaryota; Metazoa; Chordata; Lepidosauria; Squamata; Phrynosomatidae
Source: the annotation of a GenBank genome assembly